CUAGAUCGUACUGUGCACCGUCGCUUUCGGUAGCAAUGCUCAUCUGUGCCGUUCCCAAACCCCAACCAGGCAGCUUGCUUCUUUUCCUGUGAGUUGUUACAUCAUUGAUUUCUUCAGAAAAAUUUUAAAAAAGGGGAAGAAUUGUUUUUUUUUGAAGAGGCUUCUUUGGGUUUUAUUUAUUUUAUUUAUUUUAAUUUUAAUUUCUGGGCAAUUCUUUUAAUUUUGAAAAAUCCAAUUAUCAUCACAUGGGUUCGGAAUCGAACUCGCCCUCGCCCUCGUCGUCGUCGUCGCCGAGUGGGAAGAGAAGCAGAGAUCCAGAAGAUGAGGUUUAUCUUGAUAAUCUCCACUCUCACAAGCGUUAUCUCAGCG
RNAcentral lists this long non-coding RNA (369 nucleotides) under Vitis vinifera (wine grape). RNAcentral's name for it is "long non-coding RNA (VVIN_LNC002063)". Lineage: Eukaryota; Viridiplantae; Streptophyta; Magnoliopsida; Vitales; Vitaceae. The record is from RNAcentral.